GGAGAAAGGUACCACCAGGCUGAAAGGGCAGCCCGGCACCAGAAGAUACGGCGGUACCUGUCAGAAAAGCUGUCCAAUCUCAAAAGAAAUCACUACAAAGGCUCAUCCCUUUGCGGCCUGUCCUCCCCCGAUGCGUGGUCCCACCACGGACUGCCCAUGCUGUUGCAGGUCUGCCAUCGCUUGCACCCCAUGUUGUAGCCUUUUUACCCUUUUCUUCAUAUUAAUUUAGCUUAAUUUAUAUAUUGCCAAUACUAUUGAAAUGGAACAAAUGUACUAUCGCAGCCAAUAUGAGCUGAAACGCCACUGCACGUGGCACGCGAUGAGAGUUGUCUCUCAGAUUGUUCAGCAAACCUUGGUAUGCGUUGAGGUAGAAACAAAUCACUUCUUGUGCUCGUUGCACCACUAUGCCGUUCCGUGUCAAUUUUCAGCUCAUGGUGGCACAAUGAGUGCAAGAAGCAACCUGCCUAAACCUCAGCAAACACUGAGGUUCACUGAUAAUCCGACAGGUGGCUCUGAUAGUACCGCACGCCAAGCGUCAUGGCGCUUCAACUAAUAUUGGUCACAAUAGUACUUCCUCGAAUGUUUCUGGUUUUUCUGUACUACCUAGCCAUUCCGCCCAGCGAAACAAUGUAUGAUUUCAUAACUUCAUAAUAAAAAUAUCAAA
Ixodes scapularis (black-legged tick) is the source of this 664-nucleotide long non-coding RNA. RefSeq lists it as uncharacterized. Lineage: Eukaryota; Metazoa; Arthropoda; Arachnida; Ixodida; Ixodidae. The transcript is spliced from 2 exons. The record is from RefSeq and is a predicted model, not a curated record.